GACGAACGCUGGCGGCGUGCUUAACACAUGCAAGUCGAACGCUGAAGCCCUUCGGGGUGGAUGAGUGGCGAACGGGUGAGUAACACGUGGGUAAUCUGCCCUGCACUCUGGGAUAAGCCUUUGAAACGGGGCCUAAUCCCGGAUAGGACAAAUCGCCGCAUGGUGUGUGUGUGGAAAGUCACGGCGGGGCAGGGUGAGCCCGCGGCCUAUCAGCUUGUUGGUGGGGUGAUGGCCUGCCAAGGCGAGGACGGGUAGCCGGCCGGGGAGGGUGACCGGCCACACUGGGACUGAGACACGGCCCAGACUCCUACGGGAGGCAGCAGUGGGGAAUCUUGCGCAAUGGGCGAAAGCCUGACGCAGCAACGCCGCGUGGGGGAUGACGGCCUUCGGGUUGUAAACCUCUUUCAACCGGGACGAAGGAUUCGUUUGACGGUACCGGUAGAAGAAGCACCGGCUAACUACGUGCCAGCCGCCGCGGUAA
Molecule: ribosomal RNA, 481 nt
Filed under: uncultured bacterium
Lineage: Bacteria
Description: partial 16S ribosomal RNA
Rfam family: Bacterial small subunit ribosomal RNA
Source: RNAcentral